RNAcentral lists this non-coding RNA (79 nucleotides) under Acyrthosiphon pisum (pea aphid). Lineage: Eukaryota; Metazoa; Arthropoda; Insecta; Hemiptera; Aphididae. The record is from RNAcentral.
CGGGGUCGAUGAAAGCCCACCUUGUCGUGGUGACCCCGCCCGAACUUAGUUACUUAGUUACUAAGUCGCUAAGAGGCUU